UAGUUGUAGAGAUGUAGAUGUCAAAAAUAUAGGCUAGGUAAAUAGAUAAAAUCAAUUCCCAUGAUAUAUUUUUAAUAUUAUUAUUUUGCUUUCUAUUAAACACACUAAUUACAUAAAGAGCGGAAUCGUACGCGAUAUACCUGGCAACCAAUCAUUUAAACCGUCAGCCUGCACUCAUUUUCCAAUUCAUUUUCUGAGCCUUUGAGGAUGAACAAGACCAACGAGAACCAGUCAGGUUCUCCCUCGAAAUCGGGUCUCUGUUAGGACACCAAGAGAUCUCAAAUUAAUUGUAAUAGGUAAAAAUCAUUGGUGAAGUCACCAGAUGUGGAUGGCGUGUAUGUUGUUCGACAUUGCAGCGUGCUGAUGAGUUAAUAAAGAGGCAGCAAAAACCUGGGAUUUGCAUUGGCCCUGUCAAGUCUGGAGAGUGUUUUCACCAUUUAAUGAAUUAAAUUGUAAUAAAAGUUUUUAAAUGGA
Carassius auratus (goldfish) is the source of this 474-nucleotide long non-coding RNA. RefSeq lists it as uncharacterized. The record is from RefSeq and is a predicted model, not a curated record. Lineage: Eukaryota; Metazoa; Chordata; Actinopteri; Cypriniformes; Cyprinidae. The transcript is spliced from 5 exons.